RNAcentral lists this ribosomal RNA (510 nucleotides) under Danaus chrysippus alcippus. RNAcentral describes it as "SSU rRNA". It matches the Rfam family "Eukaryotic small subunit ribosomal RNA", at positions 73 to 562 of the family's 1831-position model. The record is from RNAcentral. Lineage: Eukaryota; Metazoa; Arthropoda; Insecta; Lepidoptera; Nymphalidae. RNAcentral also lists the same sequence under 1 other name.
GUAUUAAGGCGAUACCGCGAAUGGCUCAAUAUAUCAGUUUUGGUUCCUUAGAUCUUACUCAGUUACUUGGAUAACUGUGGUAAUUCUAGAGCUAAUACAUGCAAUCAGAACUCUGACCAGUGAUGGGAUGAGUGCUUUUAUUAGAUCAAAACCAAUCGACGGAGGGCCUCGCGUCCGAAGUCGUUAAUUUUGAUGAAUCUGGAUAACUUUUGCCGAUCGCAUGGUCAAGUACCGGCGACGCAUCUUUCAAAUGUCUGCCUUAUCAACUUUCGAUGGUAGUUUCUGCGACUACCAUGGUUGUCACGGGUAACGGGGAAUCAGGGUUCGAUUCCGGAGAGGGAGCCUGAGAAACGGCUACCACAUCCAAGGAAGGCAGCAGGCGCGCAAAUUACCCACUCCCGGCACGGGGAGGUAGUGACGAAAAAUAACGAUCGGGACUCUUACGAGGCCUCGUAAUCGGAAUGAGUACACUUUAAAUAUUUUAACGAGGAACAAUUGGAGGGCAAGUCU